GUUAGCGGCGGACGGGUGAGUAACACGUGGGUAACCUACCUAUAAGACUGGAAUAACUCCGGGAAACCGGGGCUAAUGCCGGAUAACAUAUCGAACCGCAUGGUUCGAUAGUGAAAGACGGUCUUGCUGUCACUUAUAGAUGGACCCGCGCCGUAUUAGCUAGUUGGUGAGGUAACGGCUCACCAAGGCAACGAUACGUAGCCGACCUGAGAGGGUGAUCGGCCACACUGGAACUGAGACACGGUCCAGACUCCUACGGGAGGCAGCAGUAGGGAAUCUUCCGCAAUGGGCGAAAGCCUGACGGAGCAACGCCGCGUGAGUGAUGAAGGUCUUCGGAUCGUAAAGCUCUGUUGUUAGGGAAGAACAAAUGUGUAAGUAACUGUGCACAUCUUGACGGUACCUAACCAGAAAGCCACGGCUAACUACGUGCCAGCAGCCGCGGUAAUACGUAGGUGGCAAGCGUUAUCCGGAAUUAUUGGGCGUAAAGCGCGCGUAGGCGGUUUUUUAAGUCUGAUGUGAAAGCCCACGGCUCAACCGUGGAGGGUCAUUGGAAACUGGAAAACUUGAGUGCAGAAGAGGAAAGUGGAAUUCCAUGUGUAGCGGUGAAAUGCGCAGAGAUAUGGAGGAACACCAGUGGCGAAGGCGGCUUUCUGGUCUGUAACUGACGCUGAUGUGCGAAAGCGUGGGGAUCAAACAGGAUUAGAUACCCUGGUAGUCCACGCCGUAAACGAUGAGUGCUAAGUGUUAGGGGGUUUCCGCCCCUUAGUGCUGCAGCUAACGCAUUAAGCACUCCGCCUGGGGAGUACGGUCGCAAGACUGAAACUCAAAGGAAUUGACGGGGACCCGCACAAGCGGUGGAGCAUGUGGUUUAAUUCGAAGCAACGCGAAGAACCUUACCAAAUCUUGACAUCUUUUGACCACUCUAGAGAUAGAGUUUUCCUCUUCGGAGGACAAAAUGACAGGUGGUGCAUGGUUGUCGUCAGCUCGUGUCGUGAGAUGUUGGGUUAAGUCCCGCAACGAGCGCAACCCUUGAGCUUAGUUGCCAUCAUUAAGUUGGGCACUCUAAGUUGACUGCCGGUGACAAACCGGAGGAAGGUGGGGAUGACGUCAAAUCAUCAUGCCCCUUAUGAUUUGGGCUACACACGUGCUACAAUGGACAAUACAAAGGG
Molecule: ribosomal RNA, 1169 nt
Filed under: Staphylococcus chromogenes
Lineage: Bacteria; Bacillati; Bacillota; Bacilli; Caryophanales; Staphylococcaceae
Description: bacterial SSU rRNA
Rfam family: Bacterial small subunit ribosomal RNA
Source: RNAcentral